Molecule: RNA transcript, 1925 nt
Organism: Mercenaria mercenaria
Lineage: Eukaryota; Metazoa; Mollusca; Bivalvia; Venerida; Veneridae
Gene name: GTPase IMAP family member 4-like
Exons: 3
Source: RefSeq, a predicted model, not a curated record
UUUUUGAGAGCAGUGCAUUCUCCACUUAUAAUACAUGUGAUAAUUUUAAGCGAUAUAUCCUGUCACGAUAUCGGAAUGCAAACAUAAUGCACUGGAUAUAAAUAAAAAGAAAACAACAAAAUACAAAAUAUGAUGCUUCUCCGUUUUGUUUCCGCUAUAUAUAAGUAAAACCUAAUCACGAAUGAACUAUUAUACUUCAGAAUUUUGCUGAUUGGACGUACUGGACAUGGCAUAAGUUCCACUGGUAAAACAAUCGUAGGGGAUAAUGUGUUUGAAGUUUCUGAGUCAUCAAAAUCGAAGACAAAGACAUGCAAAUGGUCAAAUAAGUACAUGCGAUUUGGAAAAGUAGUAGAAGUAGUGGACACUCCGGGAUUUUUUGACACGGAUUCCAAUCACACUGCCGUACACAAGGAACUGCUGACAGCUCUAGUUCUGGCCACUCCUUGAUUCCAUGUCAUCGCAUUUGUUCUGAUGAGAGGUCGAUUUACAGAGGAAAUACAGAAAACACAAGAUCUAUUUUUUCAGUGGUUUGGUCGUGGUGUAGAAAAGUUUGCAUGCGUUAUACUUACCGAUACGAGUAGUGAAGAUGCAAAACGUAAGUAUAUAUAUGACGAUCCACAUGAUAAGCUUGCAGAAUUGGUGAGAACUUGCAAUGACAAUGUUGUACCUUUGAACAAUGUCGCUUCUGAUGAAAUAAAAGACAGGCAGAUAAGACGACUUUUCGAGGUGGUUGAAAAUAUUAAACAAACGAAUUGUAAUCAACAUUUUUCUAAUGUUGCGUUCCAACUCGCAGAGGCAAAUAUAAUAAACAAAUGUCCAAGUGAGCUGACCCAGGAAUCAAUUAUGAUUUUACAAAACUCUGGAUUACGUAUGAAAAUAUCAGACGACAAGUGCAAAUAUUUAGAUAGAGUUUUUACAGUAGAAACUGAAGACGAAAGUACAAAUGAAGAAGAUCAAUACAAUGUAGGUUUAGCCGUGAAUAUGCAAGACAAAAUACAAUCAACACCCGCAAGUAUAGUUGUUGUCAAUGAAUAAAGUGAUAUAUGUGGAAGUGGAAGCGUUGGAAAUCUCCCAAUAUUUGACAGCAGCUCGAACACACAGGCAAGUCAGCAGCAUUUGAGACAAGAAGUAGCAACUUCAAACUCAAAGAAUCCUCCAUCAUCCGAAACACAAACUUCGGAAAAACACUCUUUUUCCAAGACUUUUGAGGUACCUGGGAGUUUUGAUAAUCAGUCGAACAGCAAUAUAUCUCAGGAUUUUGUACAUGCCAAACAAUAUCAAAACCAAAGUGGAGAUUAUUCAGAUAAAAUGCAAGCCUCUGCAUCUGACCAAUCAGAAGAACAGAUUCACCGCGGUAAGCGCGAGGCAAGUUCUAGACGAAACCGUAAAAUAGACAUCGAAAGUGUACACUAUGAGACACCUAGGCAGCCAAUAGAUGAUUUUAAAGAUAAGAUUAACAAAGGUGAAAAUGGAGAUGAAGCAUUGCAUGGAUUAUCGGCAUUUUUUAAGAAAGCUUGGAAUUUCUGUAGGCACAAGCUUAGCAGCUGCACUUUGCUGUAAAGUUACAAGGACAUUGUACGGUUACUGUAAUACUUUGUCAUGCUCAUCUCUCGUUGAAAUGAAUUAGGAACAUAAAGCUCGGUUUUAUCAAACAAAUGAAAAAUGUAAAAUGGCAUACAAUGAGUUUACGACACCAGAGGCCAUAAAUUAGGCACCUGUGUGUGUAUGAUGUUAUUUCAAGUUUUGUACCAUGUAUACUAAUAAUUAUGAGGAAAUAGUGAUAAAUCUGUCAAAAAAGCCAAUUGUAUUGAUAAAUGUUUUAAAGUUUUGUAAUACUUCUAUAUAUGAUAAGUAAUGUCUUUCAAAUAAUGUAAUACAUACACAAAUGUUUGAGGCUUGAAACGAAUAAAUUUUAUAAAGCAUUA